CAGAGGGUGCGAGCGUUAAUCGGAAUUACUGGGCGUAAAGCGCACGUAGUCGGCUUUGCAAGUCGGUUGUGAAAUCCCCGGGCUCAACCUGGGAACUGCAUCCGAGACUGCAUUGCUAGAGUAUGGGAGAGGAAAGCGGAAUUUCUGGUGUAGCAGUGAAAUGCGUAGAUAUCAGAAGGAACAUCAGUGGCGAAGGCGGCUUUCUGGACCAAUACUGACGAUCAGGUGCGAAAGCGUGGGGAGCAAACAGGAUUAGAUACCCUGGUAGUCCACGCCCUAAACGAUGACAACUGGAUGUCGGGAGGGUUUGCCUUCCGGUGUCGUAGCUAACGCGUUAAGUAUUCCGCCUGGGGAGUACGAUCGCAAGAUUA
This 371-nucleotide ribosomal RNA is filed under the name uncultured organism. Its description in RNAcentral is "bacterial SSU rRNA". It matches the Rfam family "Bacterial small subunit ribosomal RNA", at positions 526 to 896 of the family's 1533-position model. The record is from RNAcentral.